GGAAGUUGACGGGGCCCGCACAAGCGGUGGAGCAUGUGGUUUAAUUCGAUGCAACGCGAAGAACCUUACCUGGGCUUGACAUCCCUGGAAUCCCCUGGAAACAGGGGAGUGCCUUCGGGAGCCAGGAGACAGGUGCUGCAUGGCUGUCGUCAGCUCGUGUCGUGAGAUGUUGGGUUAAGUCCCGCAACGAGCGCAACCCUUGUCUUUAGUUGCCAUCAUUUAGUUGGGCACUCUAAAGAGACUGCCGGUGUCAAACCGGAGGAAGGUGGGGAUGACGUCAAGUCCUCAUGGCCUUUAUGACCAGGGCUACACACGUACUACAAUGGCCGGUACAAAGGGCAGCCACUUAGCGAUAAGGAGCCAAUCCCGUAAAGCCGGUCUCAGUCCGGAUUGGAGUCUGCAACUCGACUCCAUGAAGUUGGAAUCGCUAGUAAUCGCAGAUCAGCACGCUGCGGUGAAUACGUUCCCGGGUCUU
This 475-nucleotide ribosomal RNA is filed under the name uncultured Desulfocapsa sp. Its description in RNAcentral is "bacterial SSU rRNA". It matches the Rfam family "Bacterial small subunit ribosomal RNA", at positions 906 to 1382 of the family's 1533-position model. The record is from RNAcentral. Lineage: Bacteria; Pseudomonadati; Thermodesulfobacteriota; Desulfobulbia; Desulfobulbales; Desulfocapsaceae.